This 526-nucleotide long non-coding RNA is filed under the name Mus spicilegus (steppe mouse). RNAcentral's name for it is "lncRNA (ENSMSIG00000026318.1)". Lineage: Eukaryota; Metazoa; Chordata; Mammalia; Rodentia; Muridae. The record is from RNAcentral.
GACAAGGGUUAAGAAGCUUGCUGUAAAUCCUGCAUCUGAAUCUGCUUUAUUUGACCUCAAGGAGGGAAGUGCUUAUGUCUAUCAACCCCACCUUAAGUAAGACACAUGAUCUCUGGGAUCCUCCUUCUGCCUCGCUUAUAUUUUGAGAUCUCUAUAGGCAAUUUUUGACAUAUCUUGUUAGAUCUUCUGAGAAAUCUCUGUACCAUGAGACUGGACUACAUGCAGCUGUGGGAAAAAUUCUCCUACAUUUGUCUCUUUCUUGUUAUGAACCAAGGGAAUGUGCACUGGCUACCUUUCUAUUCUAAGGCCCUGGAGCUGGGGGUCCGUUUUCUCAAGAAGCGUUAAAAGCUUCCUCGGAAGGUCAUUUAGUGUAUUGACAGCAUCACGUGUGUUAAGUAUCGUGCUUAGCACACUGGCAGCAUCUGACAGAAGGUUGUUCUUCUUGUGGUAAUGGUAUGUAAAGUCUGAGACCGGGAAAGGGUGGUGCUGGGUGCUAGGCUCGGGAAAGCAGUUAUAUCAAUUUGUC